UAGCGGCGAGUGAAGCGGCAAAAGCUCAAAUUUGAAAUCUGGCGCCUUCGGUGUCCGAGUUGUAAUUUGAAGAUUGUAACCUUGGGGUUGGCUCUUGUCUAUGUUUCUUGGAACAGGACGUCACAGAGGGUGAGAAUCCCGUGCGAUGAGAUGCCCAAUUCUAUGUAAGGUGCUUUCGAAGAGUCGAGUUGUUUGGGAAUGCAGCUCUAAGUGGGUGGUAAAUUCCAUCUAAAGCUAAAUAUUGGCGAGAGACCGAUAGCGAACAAGUACAGUGAUGGAAAGAUGAAAAGAACUUUGAAAAGAGAGUGAAAAAGUACGUGAAAUUGUUGAAAGGGAAGGGUUUGAGAUCAGACUCGAUAUUUUGUGAGCCUUGCCUUCGUGGCGGGGUGACCCGCAGCUUAUCGGGCCAGCAUCGGUUUGGGCGGUAGGAUAAUGGCGUAGGAAUGUGACUUUACUUCGGUGAAGUGUUAUAGCCUGCGUUGAUGCUGCCUGCCUAGACCGAGGACUGCGAUUUUAUCAAGGAUGC
Molecule: ribosomal RNA, 526 nt
Filed under: Meyerozyma guilliermondii
Lineage: Eukaryota; Fungi; Ascomycota; Pichiomycetes; Serinales; Debaryomycetaceae
Description: eukaryotic LSU rRNA
Rfam family: Eukaryotic large subunit ribosomal RNA
Source: RNAcentral